CACACAGCAGGGUCAUAUAUCCUACCACAUUAUGGAACAGACACACAGACAGUUCAUGUAUCCUACCACAUUAUGGAACAGACACACAGACAGGUCAUAUAUCCUACCACAUUAUGGAACCCACAGACACACAGACAGUCAUAUAUCCUACCACAUUAUGGAACAGACACACAGACAGUUCAUAUAUCCUACCACAUUAUGGAACAGACACACAGCAUGGUCAUAUAUCCUACCACAUUAUGGAACAGACACACAGACAGGUCAUAUAUCCUACCACAUUAUGGAACAGACACACAGCAGGAUCAGCCAGGAGGGGUGUAUGAUGUCUAAAAGCGUUGUGAUUAUUUAGAGAGCGUCGCCAUAGUGACAUGAUGUGCUGGAUUCAGCACUAUAGACAGACUCCCCAGUGUUAUAAAUAUCUAAUGGUUUCUAAUGGAGUUCCUGCUGUGA
RNAcentral lists this long non-coding RNA (450 nucleotides) under Oncorhynchus mykiss (rainbow trout). RNAcentral describes it as "lncRNA (ENSOMYG00000062885.1)". The record is from RNAcentral. Lineage: Eukaryota; Metazoa; Chordata; Actinopteri; Salmoniformes; Salmonidae.